Molecule: small nuclear RNA, 20 nt
Filed under: Arabidopsis thaliana (thale cress)
Lineage: Eukaryota; Viridiplantae; Streptophyta; Magnoliopsida; Brassicales; Brassicaceae
Description: snRNA_19021
Source: RNAcentral
UUCUACUUCUCACUCAUGAU